Molecule: ribosomal RNA, 467 nt
Filed under: uncultured bacterium
Lineage: Bacteria
Description: partial 16S ribosomal RNA
Rfam family: Bacterial small subunit ribosomal RNA
Source: RNAcentral
GAUGAACGCUGGCGGCGUGCUUAACACAUGCAAGUCGAACGGAAAGGCCUCUGCUUGCAGGGGUACUCGAGUGGCGAACGGGUGAGUAACACGUGGGUGAUCUGCCCUGCACUUCGGGAUAAGCCUGGGAAACUGGGUCUAAUACCUGAUAGGACAAUGGGUUGGAUGCUGUUGUGGAAAGUUUUUCGGUGUGGGAUGAGCUCGCGGCCUAUCAGCUUGUUGGUGGGGUAAUGGCCUACCAAGGCGUCGACGGGUAGCCGGCCUGAGAGGGUGUACGGCCACAUUGGGACUGAGAGACGGCCCAGACUCCGACGGGAGGCAGCAGUGGGGAAUAUUGCACAAUGGGCGCAAGCCUGAUGCAGCGACGCCGCGUGGGGGAUGACGGCCUUCGGGUUGUAAACUCCUUUCGCUAGGGACGAAGCGUUUUUGUGACGGUACCUGGAGAAGAAGCACCGGCUAACUACGUG